RNAcentral lists this ribosomal RNA (889 nucleotides) under Leptoxyphium fumago. Its description in RNAcentral is "SSU rRNA". It matches the Rfam family "Eukaryotic small subunit ribosomal RNA", at positions 222 to 1113 of the family's 1831-position model. The record is from RNAcentral. Lineage: Eukaryota; Fungi; Ascomycota; Dothideomycetes; Capnodiales; Capnodiaceae.
CCCAAUGCCCCUUUGGGCUUCAUGGUGAAUCAUAAUAACUUAACGAAUCGCAUGGCCUUGCGCCGGCGAUGGUUCAUUCAAAUUUCUGCCCUAUCAACUUUCGAUGGUAGGAUAGUGGCCUACCAUGGUAUCAACGCGGUAACGGGGAAUUAGGGUUCUAUUCCGGAGAGGGAGCCUGAGAAACGGCUACCACAUCCAAGGAAGGCAGCAGGCGCGCAAAUUACCCAAUCCCGACACGGGGAGGUAGUGACAAUAAAUACUGAUACAGGGCUCUUUUGGGUCCUUGUAAUUGGAAUGAGUACAAUUUAAAUACCUUAACGAGGAACAAUUGGAGGGCAAGUCUGGUGCCAGCAGCCGCGGUAAUUCCAGCUCCAAUAGCGUAUAUUAAAGUUGUUGCAGUUAAAAAGCUCGUAGUUGAACCUUGGGCCUGGCUGGCCGGUCCGCCUCACCGCGUGUACUGGUCCGGCCGGGCCUUUCCUUCUGGGGAACCGCAUGCCCUUCACUGGGCGUGUGUGGGAACCAGGACUUUUACUUUGAAAAAAUUAGAGUGUUCAAAGCAGGCCUUUGCUCGAAUACAUUAGCAUGGAAUAAUAGAAUAGGACGUGUGGUUCUAUUUUGUUGGUUUCUAGGACCGCCGUAAUGAUUAAUAGGGAUAGUCGGGGGCAUCCGUAUUCAAUUGUCAGAGGUGAAAUUCUUGGAUUUAUUGAAGACGAACUACUGCGAAAGCAUUUGCCAAGGAUGUUUUCAUUAAUCAGUGAACGAAAGUUAGGGGAUCGAAGACGAUCAGAUACCGUCGUAGUCUUAACCAUAAACUAUGCCGACUAGGGAUCGGGGGGUGUUAUCAUUUUGACCUCCUCGGCACCUUACGAGAAAUCAAAGUCUUUGGGUU